AUGUCUUCGUCCUCGGUUCGCAAGCGCCCAUCGGCCAUUACCGCCGCCGCCAGCUCCAGCGACGUCUCGCCGUGGACAACCCUGCACGGGGAUCUGGUGUGCCUCGUCGGAUGGCGGGUGCUGGCUCAGGACCUGCUCGACUACGUCCGCUUCCGUGCCGUCUGCCGGUACUGGCGGUCCAACACAGUCUGCCCGCGCGGGCGUGGAAUAGUCGAUCCGCGGUUCCACCCGCGCCGCUGGAUGAUGCUGCCCGAAGGGCACAGGCUCCAUCCCCGGGAAGGCAGCAAAAAACGUUUCUUCAACCUGUCCAGUGGAGCUUUCGUCCGCCCUCGACUUCCGCUUCUCAGAGACCACUUCGUCCUCUGCCCAAUCGACGGCCUGCUCAUCAUCGUGCGAGGCUGGCAAUACCACAACAGUGUAUGCCUCCUCCACCCUUUCACGGGUGACGUUGUGGAACUCCCGGAAAACUUAACUAUCCCAGUAGACAUAACUCUCCCAGAAAUCUUGCGACCACGCUUGUUAUCGAUCACUGCGUUCGCGGCUGUGAGCACAAGUCCGGAUGGAGUCCUCGGGGUCAUGAUCGCGUUCCAUAAUACACCGUUCAUACUCUUUGCUAGCACAAGGCACAAGCAGUGGAGUUUAUCUGCCUUAGCCUUCUACCCACAUCCACAUGCGAGCCCAUUAUCUUUCAAAGGAAAACUUUACAUGUUGCGGGAGCAAAGAUCUAGCUGGGAACUAAAUAUUCUGCGGUUCGACCCACCUUGGCAAGAGCAUUCAACGACAUCGGAUUUAGCUUCGUCUUCCUGGUUGUCACCCAAGUUGGUUGCCACAUGUCCGGCGAAUAAGUUCCCCACGCCCGAGCUGGUAGAAUGCGACUCCGAGAUCCUGGUGUUGGGCAAUAGAGAAGCUACACAUAUGCUCAUUUACAGAUUAGUGGAUCUUGCCCAAGGGAAGUUUGUCCCAGUAAAAAGCAUCGGAGGAAAUGCUCUAUUGAUGGAUACUGAAAGGAACCUGAGUUUUAGUUUCUCAGCGGUGCCUACCACCAUGGGUGAUACCAUUGUGCUUGCAAAUCAUCCCGUUGCUGAAUACCAUAUCAGCAGCGAUACCUGGUCAUGGAGAGUUGGGGGAUGUGCAGAACAUGGUUGUAGCAUGGAGUGCUGUACUUGUAGCCUCAUUGACCAUAUGUGCAAUAUAUGUCGCUGUGUUUCUAAGUGAGCGUAUCCCACGUUCCCGUUCAUCCGCAACGGCACUCCAUGCCCACCCGAGGGCGGCGCGCCAGCAAGCCUGCCGUCGUUUAUCCAGAUUGAUUUUGCGAUCGGUACCACGAUGUCGUCGCCGGCGAACUGCGAGCGCCCUCCGGCCAACGUCUCCUCCGCUGCCGGUGGCCUCCAAGACUUGUCCCCGUGGGCCUCUCUCCCUGUAGAUUUGGCCCGCCUUGUAGGCUGGCGGGUGUUGGCCGGAGACCUCCUCGACUACGUCCGGUUCCGCGCUGUCUGCUCUGACUGGCGUUCCGCCACGGUCUCCCCGCGCGGCCAUGGCAUCACUGAUCCGCGGUUUCAUCCCCGCCGGUGGAUGAUGCUGCCCGAGGGCCACGGCCUCCACCCUGCAGCUGCGGGAAAGAAACGCUUCUUCAACCUCUCUACCGGAGUCUUCGUGCGACACCAACUUCCUCUACUCGUGGACCACCUUGUUCUCUGCCCGGUGGAAGGGCUUCUCCUACUGCAGCAGGGGCGACACGGCCAUGGGAAUACUCUGCUUCUCCUCCACCCUUUCACCGGCGAUGUUGCGGAGCUGCCGUUUGGAUGGAGCUUGAGUGUUAGCUUCAAGGCAAUGCCUACUGUUGUUGGCGACACAGUUGUGGGCAUGUACCACGAUGGUAAACAUAUUACGUACUACAACCUCCAUAGUGGCACUUGGUCAGCAACACCGGCAAGGCUUGUAAUGCAUGAUGGUGGCAUGAAGUGUACUUGUAGCCUUAUUGACCAUAUGUAUAAUGUCUGCCAUUGUGAUACUACCUGGUAUGAACACAUGAGAUAUAAUCUUCUUUUCAUAGGCCCGGUCUAUAGAGAUUGA
Molecule: ribosomal RNA, 2073 nt
Filed under: Triticum aestivum (bread wheat)
Lineage: Eukaryota; Viridiplantae; Streptophyta; Magnoliopsida; Poales; Poaceae
Description: partial small subunit ribosomal RNA
Source: RNAcentral